GAGGGUAUAGCUCAGAAGUAGAGCAUAUGCUUAGUAGGCAUGAGGUCCUGGGUUCAAUCUCUAGUACCUUCA
This 72-nucleotide transfer RNA is filed under the name Camelus bactrianus (Bactrian camel). It matches the Rfam family "tRNA". Rfam says of the family: Transfer RNA (tRNA) molecules are approximately 80 nucleotides in length. RNAcentral also lists the same sequence under 1 other name. Lineage: Eukaryota; Metazoa; Chordata; Mammalia; Artiodactyla; Camelidae. The record is from Rfam by way of RNAcentral.